Molecule: ribosomal RNA, 484 nt
Filed under: uncultured bacterium
Lineage: Bacteria
Description: partial 16S ribosomal RNA
Rfam family: Bacterial small subunit ribosomal RNA
Source: RNAcentral
AGUGAACGCUGGCGGCAGGCCUAACACAUGCAAGUCGAGCGGCAGCGCGGGGGCAACCCUGGCGGCGAGCGGCGGACGGGUGAGGAAUUCGUCGGAAUCUGCCUAUUUGUGGGGGAUAACGUAGGGAAACUUACGCUAAUACCGCAUAAGUCCUACGGGAGUACGUGGGAGACCGCAAGGCCUCACGCAGAAAGAUGAGCCGACGACCGAUUAGCUAGUUGGUGGGGUAAAGGCCCACCAAGGCGACGAUCGGUAGCUGGUCUGAGAGGAUGAUCAGCCACACUGGGACUGAGACACGGCCCAGACUCCUACGGGAGGCAGCAGUGGGGAAUAUUGGACAAUGGGCGCAAGCCUGAUCCAGCCAUGCCGCGUGUGUGAAGAAGGCCUUCGGGUUGUAAAGCACUUUUGUCCGGAAAGAAAACCCUGGGGCUAAUACCUUCGUGGGAUGACGGUACCGGAAGAAUAAGCACCGGCUAACUUCGUG